RNAcentral lists this ribosomal RNA (521 nucleotides) under uncultured bacterium. RNAcentral describes it as "bacterial SSU rRNA". It matches the Rfam family "Bacterial small subunit ribosomal RNA", at positions 28 to 581 of the family's 1533-position model. The record is from RNAcentral.
AAUCAACGCUGGCGGCGUGCCUAACACAUGCAAGUCGAACGAGAAAGUGGAGCAAUCCAUGAGUAAAGUGGCGCACGGGUGAGUAACACGUGACUAACCUACCCUUGAGUGGGGGAUAACUGAGGGAAACCUUAGCUAAUACCGCAUAAUACCUACGGGUCAAAGGAGCAAUUCGCUUAAGGAGGGGGUCGCGGCCGAUUAGUUAGUUGGCGGGGUAAUGGCCCACCAAGACGAUGAUCGGUAUCCGGCCUGAGAGGGCGCACGGACACACUGGAACUGAAACACGGUCCAGACUCCUACGGGAGGCAGCAGUGGGGAAUUUUGCGCAAUGGGGGAAACCCUGACGCAGCAACGCCGCGUGGAGGAUGAAGUCCUUCGGGACGUAAACUCCUUUCGAUCGGGACGAUAAUGACGGUACCGGAAGAAGAAGCCCCGGCUAACUUCGUGCCAGCAGCCGCGGUAAUACGAGGGGGGCGAGCGUUGUUCGGAAUUAUUGGGCGUAAAGGGUGCGUAGGCGGUUU